This 253-nucleotide ribosomal RNA is filed under the name uncultured bacterium. RNAcentral describes it as "partial 16S ribosomal RNA". It matches the Rfam family "Bacterial small subunit ribosomal RNA", at positions 524 to 776 of the family's 1533-position model. The record is from RNAcentral.
UACAGAGGUCUCAAGCGUUGUUCGGAUUCAUUGGGCGUAAAGGGUGCGUAGGUGGCGCGGUAAGUCGGGUGUGAAAUUUCGGAGCUUAACUCCGAAACUGCAUUCGAUACUGCCGUGCUUGAGGACUGGAGAGGAGACUGGAAUUUACGGUGUAGCAGUGAAAUGCGUAGAGAUCGUAAGGAAGACCAGUGGCGAAGGCGGGUCUCUGGACAGUUCCUGACACUGAGACACGAGGGCCAGGGGAGCAAACGGG